This is a non-coding RNA of Aeromonas finlandensis, 53 nucleotides long. The record is from Rfam. Lineage: Bacteria; Pseudomonadati; Pseudomonadota; Gammaproteobacteria; Aeromonadales; Aeromonadaceae.
CGUGUGGUGUCCGACAAGAGAUCGGAUGGCGACACGGCCUAUUAUAUUGAGGU